CAACCCUCAAGCUCUGCUUGGUGUUGGGGCACUACGGUUGACGUAGGCCCUGAAAAUUAGUGGCGGGCUCGCUGUGGGUCCGGGCGUAGUAGCGAUAUCUCGCCUGCGGCCCCCAGCAAGCUCCAGCCGUUAAACCCCCCAAAUUACAGAA
Molecule: unclassified non-coding RNA, 151 nt
Filed under: Phialemonium atrogriseum
Lineage: Eukaryota; Fungi; Ascomycota; Sordariomycetes; Cephalothecales; Cephalothecaceae
Description: partial internal transcribed spacer 2
Source: RNAcentral